Molecule: ribosomal RNA, 934 nt
Filed under: Staphylococcus aureus
Lineage: Bacteria; Bacillati; Bacillota; Bacilli; Caryophanales; Staphylococcaceae
Description: bacterial SSU rRNA
Rfam family: Bacterial small subunit ribosomal RNA
Source: RNAcentral
GCGGAGAGUUAAGCUUGCUUCUCUGAUGUUAGCGGCGGACGGGUGAGUAACACGUGGAUAACCUACCUAUAAGACUGGGAUAACUUCGGGAAACCGGAGCUAAUACCGGAUAAUAUUUUGAACCGCAUGGUUCAAAAGUGAAAGAAGAGACGGUCUUGCUGUCACUUAUAGAUGGAUCCGCGCUGCAUUAGCUAGUUGGUAAGGUAACGGCUUACCAAGGCAACGUUAUGCAUAGCCGACCUGAGAGGGUGAUCGGCCACACUGGAACUGAGACACGGUCCAGACUCCUACGGGAGGGAGACAGCAGUAGGGAAUCUUCCGCAAUGGGCGAAAGCCUGACGGAGCAACGCCGCGUGAGUGAUGAAGGUCUUACACCGGAUCGUAAAACUCUGUUAUUAGGGAAGAACAUAUGUGUAAGUAACUGUGCACAUCUUGACGGUACCUAGGCCAUCAGAAAGCCACGGCUAACUACGUGCCAGCAGCCGCGGUAAUACGUAGGUGGCAAGCGUUAUCCGGAAUUAUUGGGCGUAAAGCGCGCGUAGGCGGUUUUUUAAGUCUGAUGUGAAAGCCCACGGCUCAACCGUGGAGGGUCAUUGGAAACUGGAAAACUUGAGUGCAGAAGAGGAAAGUGGAAUUCCAUGUGUAGCGGUGAAAUGCGCAGGUAGAGAGAUAUGGAGGAACACCAGUGGCGAAGGCGACUUUCUGGUCUGUAACUGACGCUGAUGUGCGAAAGCGUGGGGAUCAAACAGGAUUAGAUACCCUGGUAGUCCACGCCGUAAACGAUGAGUGCUAAGUGUUAGGGGGUUUCCGCCCCUUAGUGCUGCAGCUAACGCAUUAAGCACUCCGCCUGGGGAGUACGACCGCAAGGUUGAAACUCAAAGGAAUUGACGGGGACCCGCACAAGCGGUGGAGCAUGUGGUUUAAUUCGAAGCGG